UCUGAGUCAUGUAGGAGGAAGUAAAAGUCGUAACAAGGGUUCCGUAGACGAGGUUGCGGAUAGGAUCAUUAUUGAAUAUAAGCGGAGUGGGUGGUAGCUGGCCUCUGGGGGUGAGGCAUGUGCAUGCUUUUCUCUGUUCAUCCACACACACAUGUGAACUUGUGAGACGGAUAGCCCUCUCGGGGGCCGUCUGUCUGCUACACAUAAACUCCUAUUUAUAAAAGUGAAUGUAAUUGAUGUAACGCAUCUAUAAACUAAGUUUCAACAACGGAUCUCUUGGCUCUCGCAUCGAUGAAGAACGCAGCGAAAUGCGAUAAGUAAUGUGAAUUGCAGAAUUCAGUGAAUCAUCGAAUCUUUGAACGCACCUUGCGCUCCUUGGUAUUCCUCGGAGCAUGCCUGUUUGAGUAUCAUGAAAUCUUCAAAAUUAAUCUUUUGUUCAUUCGAUUGAUUUUAUUUUGGACUUGGAGGUCUGCAGAUUCACGUCUGCUCCUCUUAAAUUUAUUAGCUGGAUCUCAGUGAGCUCGGUUCCACUCGGCGUGAUAAGUAUCACUCGCUGAGGACACUGUAAUAGGUGGCCGGGGUUGCAGAUGAACUGCUUCUAAUAGUCCAUUCACUUGGACAAUUUAUUUAUGAUCUGAUCUCAAAUCAGGUAGGACUACCCGCUGAACUUAAGCAUAUCAAUAAGCGGAGGA
Molecule: ribosomal RNA, 692 nt
Filed under: uncultured fungus
Lineage: Eukaryota; Fungi
Description: eukaryotic LSU rRNA
Rfam family: 5.8S ribosomal RNA (bases 257-410)
Source: RNAcentral